Molecule: ribosomal RNA, 400 nt
Filed under: phytoplankton environmental sample
Lineage: Eukaryota
Description: partial small subunit ribosomal RNA
Rfam family: Eukaryotic small subunit ribosomal RNA
Source: RNAcentral
AGCUCCAUUAGCGUAUAUUAAAGUUGUUGCAGUUAAAAAGCUCGUAGUUGGAUUUCGGUGUGGGCCUGUCGGUCGGCCGCGAGGCCUGUUACUGACUGGUUCGCUCUUCCUCCCAAAGACUGCACGUGCCCUUCGCUGGGUGUGUGUAUUGGAUUUGGGACGUUUACUUUGAAAAAAUUAGAGUGUUCAAGGCAAGCUUUGAGGCUUGAAUACAUGAGCAUGGAAUAAUGGAAUAGGACCUCGGUCCCUAUUUCGUUGGUUUCACGGACCGAAGUAAUGAUUAAGAGGGACAAUUGGGGGCAUCCGUAUUUCGUAGUCAGAGGUGAAAUUCUUGGACCUACGAAAGACGAACAACUGCGAAAGCAUUUGCCAAGAGUGUUUUCAUUAAUCAAGAACGAAA